RNAcentral lists this ribosomal RNA (253 nucleotides) under uncultured bacterium. Its description in RNAcentral is "partial 16S ribosomal RNA". It matches the Rfam family "Bacterial small subunit ribosomal RNA", at positions 524 to 776 of the family's 1533-position model. The record is from RNAcentral.
UACGAAGGGUACUAGCGUUGUUCGGAAUCACUGGGCGUAAAGCGCACGUAGGCGGAUGUGUCAGUCAGGGGUGAAAUCCCGGGGCUCAACCUCGGAACUGCCUUUGAUACAGCACGUCUCGAGUCCGGAAGAGGUGGGUGGAAUUCCUAGUGUAGAGGUGAAAUUCGUAGAUAUUAGGAAGAACACCGGUGGCGAAGGCGGCCCACUGGUCCGGUACUGACGCUGAGGUGCGAAAGCGUGGGGAGCAAACAGG